CUGUUCUUCGUCAUUCCGGAAUCAUUGCGGUGACACAAGCGGCAACAUCGCAAGACAUCUCCGGAGACGCGUAGAUCGUUAGCGAAUCUUCUGGAACAGUGGUCUAGCUGAUAUAUCAAGGAGCCCACGCCGCAGAGUGCAGUUCAAAUCGGAACAUUGGCGCGACUUGUAAAGUUUAUAAAGUUUAUAAAAGGCGAGAUGUUCCAACGCCGCCGCCGCGACAGUACUGAAGGCGGAUUCUCAAUCAUCUUCUCGAGACGUGACGUCUCGAGUUGCUACGAAAUGCGAUUCCCAAUCCAUUUCGUUCUCGAUAGCGAGUCGGGAUCUAUCGAGUUCAUCUGUCAUUUUCGCUCGGGACCUAAGAAGCUGCCGAGAACGGUAAAAGAAGCGAUCUAUUAGUCGAAAAAUCUCCUAUUUCUUUUUUUCGUUGUGUGUGUCUAUCUCUAUCGGACAUCGACAACGACAAUCCGUUGUUGGUUCAUGUUCUUCAGCUUAAGUUUGAAUUUUUGAUAUUUUGAUUUUUUGUUUGGGAGUACAAGUACAGAGUAUUUCCAAAUAUUUUCCAAAAGUUUUAAAUCGAUCCUUUCCGCACCUUAGGCAGCGUGCAGUUGGAGAAUCCGGUAAGUUGUUUGUUUAUUUAUGCAUAUCAUUACAAUAACAAUUAAAAUUACAAUAGCUUAUGGUAUGAAAUAUACAUUUUAUUAGUUUAAAUUAGGAGCCUGCCAUAUAAUAAUAUUUAUUAAACAGGUCCAAUUUUAUUUUCUCAUGUAGCUAAUUAUAUUUAUAACUAUUUUUUUGGUAAUAAACUUUUUUGACUUUGACUUUGAGGUACCUAGGAAGAAUGCAAAUACAGCAUGUGGAAGUUUUGGCAGACUUUAUGGAAGACAACCCUGAAUUUGCAAGGGGUAGACUUUCUGCCUCGAAUGCUAGGGAGAAGUUCAAGGCACUGUGGGGAAAUUUAACCACCAGGUUAAAUUCCUUAGGACUUGGUGUUAGAGAUGUGGCAAAGUGGCAAAAAACAUGGUCUGAUUACAAAAGUAAUUUAAAAAAAAAAGCUGCCGAAAUAAAAAGGUAUCAAGAAGGCACAGGUGGUGGUCCAGCAACCCGUAAGACUUUGUCAGAUUUAGAACAGAGAAUCCUUAACAUUCUGGGCACUAUGUUUUAGGCAGGGGUUGGUGUGGAGGAAAGAGGUAUAAAUGUUAGCAUAUCAGGCCCUUCAACCUCAACACCUUAUACCACAACCUCUUGUUGCUUAUCGCAGCAAU
Anthonomus grandis grandis is the source of this 1265-nucleotide long non-coding RNA. RefSeq lists it as uncharacterized. The record is from RefSeq and is a predicted model, not a curated record. Lineage: Eukaryota; Metazoa; Arthropoda; Insecta; Coleoptera; Curculionidae. The transcript has 3 exons.